GACGAACGCUGGCGGCGUGCUUAACACAUGCAAGUCGAACGGUGAAGCGCCUUCCUUUUUGGUGGGUGUGGAUGAGUGGCGAACGGGUGAGUAACACGUGAGUAACCUGCCCCCUUCUUCUGGAUAACCGCAUGAAAGUGUGGCUAAUACGGGAUAUUCUGGGUCUGUCGCAUGAUGGGUCUGGGAAAGAUAUUGUUUCGGUGGGGAUGGGCUCGCGGCCUAUCAGCUUGUUGGCGGGGUGAUGGCCUACCAAGGCGGUGACGGGUAGCCGGCCUGAGAGGGUGGACGGUCACACUGGGACUGAGACACGGCCCAGACUCCUACGGGAGGCAGCAGUGGGGAAUAUUGCACAAUGGGCGCAAGCCUGAUGCAGCGACGCCGCGUGAGGGAUGGAGGCCUUCGGGUUGUGAACCUCUUUCGCCAGUGAAGCAGGCCUGCCUCGUUUGUGGGUGGGUUGACGGUAGCUGGAUAAGAAGCGCCGGCUAACUACGUG
Molecule: ribosomal RNA, 493 nt
Filed under: uncultured bacterium
Lineage: Bacteria
Description: partial 16S ribosomal RNA
Rfam family: Bacterial small subunit ribosomal RNA
Source: RNAcentral